CUAAGUUUGAUGGCGACCGGCGCACGGGUGAGUAACACGUAUCCAACCUGCCGAUGACUCGGGGAUAGCCUUUCGAAAGAAAGAUUAAUACCCGAUGGCAUAGUUCUUCCGCAUGGUAGAACUAUUAAAGAAUUUCGGUCAUCGAUGGGGAUGCGUUCCAUUAGGUUGUUGGCGGGGUAACGGCCCACCAAGCCUUCGAUGGAUAGGGGCUCUGAGAGGAAGGUCCCCCACAUUGGAACUGAGACACGGUCCAAACUCCUACGGGAGGCAGCAUG
This 275-nucleotide ribosomal RNA is filed under the name uncultured bacterium. RNAcentral describes it as "partial 16S ribosomal RNA". It matches the Rfam family "Bacterial small subunit ribosomal RNA", at positions 79 to 353 of the family's 1533-position model. The record is from RNAcentral.